GACGAACGCUGGCGGCGUGCUUAACACAUGCAAGUCGAACGGAAAGGCCCUGCUUUUGUGGGGUGCUCGAGUGGCGAACGGGUGAGUAACACGUGUGUAACCUGCCCUUGACUUUGGGAUAACUUCAGGAAACUGGGGCUAAUACCGGAUAGGAGCUCCUGCUGCAUGGUGGGGGUUGGAAAGUUUCGGCGGUUGGGGAUGGACUCGCGGCUUAUCAGCUUGUUGGUGGGGUAGUGGCUUACCAAGGCUUUGACGGGUAGCCGGCCUGAGGGGGUGACCGGCCACAUUGGGACUGAGAUACGGCCCAGACUCCUACGGGAGGCAGCAGUGGGGAAUAUUGCACAAUGGGCGGAAGCCUGAUGCAGCAACGCCGCGUGCGGGAUGACGGCCUUCGGGUUGUAAACCGCUUUCGCCUGUGACGAAGCGUGAGUGACGGUAAUGGGUAAAGAAGCACCGGCUAACUACGU
RNAcentral lists this ribosomal RNA (467 nucleotides) under uncultured bacterium. Its description in RNAcentral is "partial 16S ribosomal RNA". It matches the Rfam family "Bacterial small subunit ribosomal RNA", at positions 28 to 506 of the family's 1533-position model. The record is from RNAcentral.